UGAGUACGAGAUGCUACGGCAUCGAAGCAGUGUAUGUCAUACUUCCAAGAAAAGCUCGCAAUGUCAUAAACAAAUAAUGCCUGUACCAUAACCGACACAGGUGGGUAGGUAGAGUAUACUAAGGGGCGCGAGAUAACUCUCUCUAAGGAACUCGGCAAAAUGACUCCGUAACUUCGGGAGAAGGAGUGCCUUAUUUUUAUAAGGUUGCAAUAACAAGAUCCAAGCAACUGUUUACCAAAAACACAGGUCUCCGCUAAGUCGUAAGACGAUGUAUGGGGGCUGACGCCUGCCCAGUGCCAGAAGGUUAAAGAAGUUGGUUAGCAUUAGCGAAGCUGAUAACUGAAGCCCUGGUGAACGGCGGCCGUAACUAUAACGGUCCUAAGGUAGCGAAAUUCCUUGUCGGGUAAGUUCCGACCCGCACGAAAGGCGUAAUGAUUUGGAUACUGUCUCGGAGAGGGGCUCGGUGAAAUAGACUUGUCUGUGAAGAUGCGGACUACCUGCACCUGGACAGAAAGACCCUAUGAAGCUUUACUGUAACUUGAGAUUGAAAUUGGACUUUAUCUGCGCAGUAUAGGUGUAGACGUUGAUAAUAUUCUUGCGGGAAUAUUGGAGUCAUCAGUGAGAUACCACUCUUAUAAUGUUAGAUUUCUAACUUUGUAUCAUUAUCUGGUCAAAGAACAGUUUCAGGCGGGCAGUUUGACUGGGGCGGUCGCCUCCCAAACGUUAACGGAGGCGCACAAAGGUUUCCUCUGAACGUGUAGAAAUCGUAUCUAGUGUGUAAAGGCAUAAGGAAGCUUGACUGUGAGACCUACAAGUCGAGCAGGGACGAAAGUCGGUCUUAGUGAUCUGACGGUGCUGAGUGGAAAGGCCGUCACUCAACGGAUAAAAGUUACUCUAAGGAUAACAGGCUGAUCUCCCCCAAGAGUUCACAUCGACGGGGAGGUUUGGCACCUCGAUGUCGGCUCAUCGCAUCCUGGGGCGGUAGUACGUCCCAAGGGUUGGGCUGUUCGCCCAUGAAAGCGGUACGCGAGCUGGGUUCAGAACGUCGUGAGACAGUUCGGUCCAUAUCCGGUGUAGGCGUUAGAAUAUUGAGAGGAGCCUUCUUUAGUACGAGAGGACCGAGAAGGACAUACCUCUGGUGUACCAGUUAUCGUGCCAACGGUAAACGCUGGGUAGCUAUGUAUGGAGAGGAUAACCGCUGAAAGCAUCUAAGUGGGAAGCCCACCUCAAGAUAAGUAUUCCC
This 1243-nucleotide ribosomal RNA is filed under the name metagenome. RNAcentral's name for it is "bacterial LSU rRNA". It matches the Rfam family "Bacterial large subunit ribosomal RNA", at positions 1564 to 2815 of the family's 2925-position model. The record is from RNAcentral.